UGGGGAAUAUUGCACAAUGGGCGAAAGCCUGAUGCAGCAACGCCGCGUGAGUGAUGAAGGCCUUCGGGUUGUAAAGCUCUGUCUUCUGGGACGAUAAUGACGGUACCAGAGGAGGAAGCCACGGCUAACUACGUGCCAGCAGCCGCGGUAAUACGUAGGUGGCAAGCGUUGUCCGGAUUUACUGGGCGUAAAGGAUGCGUAGGCGGAUACUUAAGUCAGAUGUGAAAAUCCCGGGCUUAACUUGGGAACUGCAUUUGAAACUGGGUAUCUAGAGUGCGGGAGAGGAAAGUGGAAUUCCUAGUGUAGCGGUGAAAUGCGUAGAGAUUAGGAAGAACACCAGUGGCGAAGGCGACUUUCUGGACAAUAACUGACGCUGAGGCUCGAAAGCGUGGGGAGCAAACA
RNAcentral lists this ribosomal RNA (402 nucleotides) under uncultured bacterium. Its description in RNAcentral is "bacterial SSU rRNA". It matches the Rfam family "Bacterial small subunit ribosomal RNA", at positions 355 to 774 of the family's 1533-position model. The record is from RNAcentral.